This 307-nucleotide small nuclear RNA is filed under the name Erinaceus europaeus (western European hedgehog). RNAcentral describes it as "7SK RNA (ENSEEUG00000019746.1)". It matches the Rfam family "7SK RNA". Rfam says of the family: 7SK was discovered as an abundant small nuclear RNA in the mid-70s but a possible function has only recently been suggested. Two independent studies have found that 7SK RNA binds the CDK9/cyclin T complex (known as elongation factor P-TEFb). The record is from RNAcentral. Lineage: Eukaryota; Metazoa; Chordata; Mammalia; Eulipotyphla; Erinaceidae.
GGAUUUGAGGGCAGUCUUCCUGUGACAUCUGUCACCCACUGAUUGCCAGGAUUGAUUCUGCUGAUCUGGCUGGCUAGGUGGGUGUCCCUGUCCUCAUUCAUCGCUCCACGUGUGUCCCUCCUGAAGCAGCAUGCUCAGUUGAAAAAGAAGAAGACAAUCUUCCCCAAAUAGAGAUGGACCAGAUCUUUGGUGGAGGGUUUACAAGUAGCUGGGCUCCCCUGCUAGAACCUCCAAAAAGCUCUUGAGAAAUAUAUAUUUUAAAGUAUAUUAUACUUGAGGAGCAACUGAUGUAUGAUUGUAUUUCCCU